Molecule: small RNA, 1673 nt
Filed under: Vigna angularis var. angularis
Lineage: Eukaryota; Viridiplantae; Streptophyta; Magnoliopsida; Fabales; Fabaceae
Description: Non-protein coding transcript
Source: RNAcentral
GGGGUAUUAUUUAUUACGCGUCCGUUCCUUUCAAUAGUAACACUCUUCUUACAGAAUAUUGAACAGAGUUGAUGUCAUAAACAAUGUCAUUUGAUUUCUAAUCGGUGGAAACUGGCAUGGUUUGCUUCAAACCAAACCAUAUUCCACAACACUCGAGAUCUAUGUAGAAGGAAAGGAGAAAGAAAAUUCAGUAUCCAAACAAAUCCUCAGUCAGUAUUUUAUAAUUCAGAAGGAACUACACAUUCAUACUUUUGUAAAUCAGCACGCCUCAAGCUCACUGCAGCUUAACGUGUAGUGUCUCAGGCAUUGGAGCCAUUGUAGAGUCAUAAACAAGGUGACACCAGCUCCACUCCAACUCAAGACAGAAGGGGGAAAAGUGGGUGGGCUAGUUGGGGAGGCAAAAGAACCUAAAAUAACAACAAUGCUCUUGACUGUAGAGUGUCAAUCUCCUAAAAAUGACUGUUGCCUCGCAAAGCUGACGAAUCAUCAAAAUUUGAGGAAAGGAUAUCUCAGAACAUGGCGUAUUCAACCAUCUUCUAGUACAAACAUGAUUGAACUCCCACCUCAUCAAUCCUAAAACCCCUAUCAGCAUUAACUGCUUUUCCACAAAACCAUCAACAUCUCUGAGAACUUGAGCUAAAUUUUCUCAUGAGUUCUAUGUUUUCUGCAAUUGUUGACCCAGGUGUUCCAACAAAACCUAGAGAUGCGCAGCUGCAUACAGUCUGCUCAACAUAAAGAAGUAAAUCUGGCAAUCUCUGACUGGAACAAUAUUUUUUACCAAUUGUACUAUAUGAAUUUGAUAGGAACCUCUGCCCAUGACCAGCUGUCAUGAGCUUUAUAGCUGCUCGCUUAAUCAGCUUAUCAUUCGCUUUCAAAAAGUAUAACUUAUACUUGUGAUUCUCACUAACUAAAUCACCUAAAUAAGUAUUAGUCCAAUUAUCUCCAGGAAGAUCAGUCAUUAUAAAAAUAUGAAUUGGUAGAGGGCCUUCCUUCCUUAAAGAUUCUAGUUUUUGCCUUAAUCCUUGAAAUGUAGCCUUUUGAUGAUUCUUAAACUGCCCAUCCAACAAUCUAAGUUGUGCGCAAAGAAAUGGAGCCCUUAUGCUUUGUUUAGAAAACUCCUUUCCAGCUAUCAAAAUUUCUGGGACAAAGGAAAGAAGUUUAGUCUUCUCCUUCAGAGAUAGAAAUCUCUGAUUCUGAUUAGACUCACGGAUAUCCACAUAUAGUUCAGAACCUUUGUAUGUGGCAGAGAAAAGGGUUCCAAAUGCCAGCAGUGAGGCUGAUUCAGCUUCAGAACCAGGUCCUAGAGUCUUAAAUACAUCCUUCCGUCUUCUAACAUAUGAUAUUUUCUUUUUCUGCUUCAGUUUUUCAUCGGGUUGAAAUGAAUCUAACAUACCGUCUCCAUGCCCAUCUUCAUUGUAAGUCCAUACUGUAGUUCUGCAAUCCUCAUUGACAGCAUAUAUACACUUUUCAAUACUACCAUGGAGCCCAGCUAGCAGAGAUCCACAUUGGUUAAGGCUUUUAGAAACAGAGGAAUGCAACUUUGUAUCUGUUAUGCAAGCCAAAUCUAAGCUGAUGCCACACCAUAUCGACACAAAAUCCCUAAGAUCAAUCACUCGAACAAGAGAGGAAGAAACUAAUGAUGUGAUGUCAACGAUUUCAGCAAUGGAUAUAUA